GCGUUGGUAGUUCAGUGGUAGGAUUCUCGCCUUCCAUAUGGGGGACCCCAGUUUCAAUUCCUGGCCAAUGCA
Molecule: transfer RNA, 72 nt
Filed under: Loxodonta africana (African savanna elephant)
Lineage: Eukaryota; Metazoa; Chordata; Mammalia; Proboscidea; Elephantidae
Rfam family: tRNA
About the family: Transfer RNA (tRNA) molecules are approximately 80 nucleotides in length. Their secondary structure includes four short double-helical elements and three loops (D, anti-codon, and T loops). Further hydrogen bonds mediate the characteristic L-shaped molecular structure. tRNAs have two regions of fundamental functional importance: the anti-codon, which is responsible for specific mRNA codon recognition, and the 3' end, to which the tRNAs corresponding amino acid is attached (by aminoacyl-tRNA synthetases). tRNAs cope with the degeneracy of the genetic code in two manners: having more than one tRNA (with a specific anti-codon) for a particular amino acid; and 'wobble' base-pairing, i.e. permitting non-standard base-pairing at the 3rd anti-codon position.
Source: Rfam by way of RNAcentral